RNAcentral lists this ribosomal RNA (256 nucleotides) under uncultured bacterium. Its description in RNAcentral is "partial 16S ribosomal RNA". It matches the Rfam family "Bacterial small subunit ribosomal RNA", at positions 335 to 605 of the family's 1533-position model. The record is from RNAcentral.
AUUCCUACGGGACGCAGCAGUGGGGAAUAUUGGGCAAUGGGCGCAAGCCUGACCCAGCAACGCCGCGUGAAGGAAGAAGGCUUUCGGGUUGUAAACUUCUUUUAUCAGGGACGAAGCAAGUGACGGUACCUGAUGAAUAAGCCACGGCUAACUACGUGCCAGCAGCCGCGGUAAUACGUAGGUGGCAAGCGUUAUCCGGAUUUACUGGGUGUAAAGAGCGCGUAGGCGGGAUAGCAAGUCAGAUGUGAAAUCCUAU